RNAcentral lists this ribosomal RNA (437 nucleotides) under uncultured bacterium. RNAcentral describes it as "bacterial SSU rRNA". It matches the Rfam family "Bacterial small subunit ribosomal RNA", at positions 47 to 507 of the family's 1533-position model. The record is from RNAcentral.
CUUAACACAUGCAAGUCGAACGGACUGAGUCUUCGGAAAAGGUUAGUGGCGCACGGGUGAGUAACACGUAGGUGACCUGCCCUGGAGUGGGGAUAACUUCUCGAAAGAGAGGCUAAUACCGCAUACGCUCGGCCAUUCGGUUGGUCGAGUAAAGCUCCGGCGCUCCAGGAGGGGCUUGCGUCCGAUUAGCUAGUUGGUGAGGUAAAUGGCUCACCAAGGCGAUGAUCGGUAGCUGGUCUGAGAGGACGAUCAGCCACACUGGCACUGACACACGGGCCAGACUCCUACGGGAGGCAGCAGUGAGGAAUAUUGGUCAAUGGGCGAAAGCCUGAACCAGCAACGCCGCGUGAGGGAUGAAGGCCUUCGGGUCGUAAACCUCUUUUCUGGGAGAAGAGACAAGGACGGUAUCCCAGGAAUAAGUCUCGGCUAACUACGUG